AUUUGUGCGUGCACACCCACUCCUGAGAAUGCUAAUGUACGUGACCUUGAACUCCCCAUUGCACGUGCCCUUCUGAAUACCAUAUGAUUAAGUACCUUUCGGCAUGUUAAUUUCAUCUCCAAAAGUUCUUAUACGAGGCCGCAGCAACUUGGAUUAUAUAUCCCUAGUCGUCGUCCACGGCGGGUGCGGUCGCCGACGCCGACGCCGCCACCUCCUCCGGCGCGGCCGCGGUGGUGUCCUUGGCCGCGGCGCUACCGCUCCCCUCGGAGCUUCCCUUGUUUUUCCGGCGGUUGGACUUCUUGGGAACGGCGGGGAGGUCCUGGCAUGUGCCCGAGGCGUCGUCGCCGGCCGACUUGUCCUGCUUCUUGCGGUUCUUUCGGGUUUGCAACAAGAGGAGGAUGAAGAUCGAAGACCAGCAAGAGCUGUAUAUAUUUGUGAGUGGCGAAGACAACCUUGAGAAGCCCAGGGAUUUGCAGCAGCCGUGCCCCCACUCUCACUCCUAAAAGAGGACGAGUCAAGCGGUGCCGAGUGGUAAUCCUUCAUCUGUCAAAACCAACCUUUUCUCGUCAUGCUACAAUAUCCACUACAUUACGAUGGAUUUUUUUUUACAUAAUAUAUGCUACAUGCAUGGACAUAACUAUUAUGAAUUGUCUUCAUGUCGACAAGGAAGACAUUGUUAAAAAUCAAGUAGAACACAUGCAUGCAUAAAGAUUGUUUGCAUAUAUGUAACAUUUUUCUUUUGCUCAAUGCCAAUGUCAAACAAUGUUGCCAGCUUACCCAGCUAGGUGCUCCGCCA
Molecule: long non-coding RNA, 796 nt
Organism: Zea mays
Lineage: Eukaryota; Viridiplantae; Streptophyta; Magnoliopsida; Poales; Poaceae
Exons: 2
Source: RefSeq, a predicted model, not a curated record